RNAcentral lists this ribosomal RNA (119 nucleotides) under Anolis carolinensis (green anole). The record is from RNAcentral. Lineage: Eukaryota; Metazoa; Chordata; Lepidosauria; Squamata; Anolidae.
CCAAAAUACCCUAAUACCAUAAAGGCACCAGAUCCCAUCUGAUCUUGGAAACUAAGCAGGGUAAGCCCUGGUUAGUAUUAGGAUAGGGGACCGCCAAUAAACAUCAGGUGAGAUAUGCU